Molecule: unclassified non-coding RNA, 459 nt
Filed under: Hevea brasiliensis (rubber tree)
Lineage: Eukaryota; Viridiplantae; Streptophyta; Magnoliopsida; Malpighiales; Euphorbiaceae
Source: RNAcentral
UCCUUAAUCUUUGCUAGUUUUUUUAUCAACCGAGCUCUCUCAAUUUCAACAUAAAUCUUCCCAGCAGAAACAGUGUUAAGUGUCUUAAUGAGUUCUAUACGAGUUUCAAGAUCCGGUGUCUCAUCAAUGUACUGCAUCGCUUGCUGGACCAUAACAGUUACAGCCUGCUUGAGUUGACCACGUUUCUUGGAAAGGAGGACUAUCUGGUCGUUAAGCAUCUUCCAGUCUUUGGCUUCGAAGCAAAGUUGAAGAAUGUCGGUAACGGCCUUCUUAGUGCCGGCGACGGCACUGGCGAGCCUCAUCUGCUUCUCGACAUUCUGCAACUGCUCUAUCGCCGACUCCAAAUUGGCUUUGCCCUCCAUCUUGAAUCGGGAAAAAUCUAUGGAUGAAGAUAUAUCAAUUCAGAUGAACCCUAGAGAGCGUGAGUUUUGAUUUAGAGAAGAACAAAAAGAAAUUUGC